This 301-nucleotide ribosomal RNA is filed under the name uncultured bacterium. RNAcentral's name for it is "partial 16S ribosomal RNA". It matches the Rfam family "Bacterial small subunit ribosomal RNA", at positions 509 to 807 of the family's 1533-position model. The record is from RNAcentral.
CAGCCGCCGCGGGAAUACGUAGGUGGCAAGCGUUAGUCGGAAUUACUGGGCGUAAAGCGUGCGCAGGCGGUCCGCUAAGACAGAUGUGAAAUCCCCGGGCUUAACCUGGGAACUGCAUUUGUGACUGGCGGGCUAGAGUAUGGCAGAGGGGGGUAGAAUUCCACGUGUAGCAGUGAAAUGCGUAGAGAUGUGGAGGAAUACCGAUGGCGAAGGCAGCCCCCUGGGCCAAUACUGACGCUCAUGCACGAAAGCGUGGGGAGCAAACAGGAUUAGAUACCCCCGUAGUCCCUGUCUCUUAUAC